This 253-nucleotide ribosomal RNA is filed under the name uncultured bacterium. Its description in RNAcentral is "partial 16S ribosomal RNA". It matches the Rfam family "Bacterial small subunit ribosomal RNA", at positions 524 to 776 of the family's 1533-position model. The record is from RNAcentral.
UACAGAGGGUGCAAGCGUUAAUCGGAAUUACUGGGCGUAAAGCGCACGUAGGUGGAUAAGUAGGUUGGAUGUGAAAGCCCUGGGCUCAACCCGGGAAUGCCAUUCAAAACCGCUUGUCUAGAGUAUGGUAGAGGAAAGUGGAAUUUCCGGUGUAGCGGUGAAAUGCGUAGAUAUCGGAAGGAACACCAGUGGCGAAGGCGACUUUCUGGACCAAUACUGACACUGAGGUGCGAAAGCGUGGGGAGCAAACAGG